UGGGGAAUAUUGCACAAUGGGGGAAACCCUGAUGCAGCCAUGCCGCGUGUGUGAAGAAGGCCUUCGGGUUGUAAAGCACUUUCAGCGAGGAGGAAAGGUUGAUGCCUAAUACGUAUCAACUGUGACGUUACUCGCAGAAGAAGCACCGGCUAACUCCGUGCCAGCAGCCGCGGUAAUACGGAGGGUGCAAGCGUUAAUCGGCAUUACUGGGCGUAAAGCGCACGCAGGCGGUUGGAUAAGUUAGAUGUGAAAGCCCCGGGCUCAACCUGGGAAUUGCAUUUAAAACUGUCCAGCUAGAGUCUUGUAGAGGGGGGUAGAAUUCCAGGUGUAGCGGUGAAAUGCGUAGAGAUCUGGAGGAAUACCGGUGGCGAAGGCGGCCCCCUGGACAAAGACUGACGCUCAGGUGCGAAAGCGUGGGGAGCAAACA
Molecule: ribosomal RNA, 427 nt
Filed under: uncultured bacterium
Lineage: Bacteria
Description: partial 16S ribosomal RNA
Rfam family: Bacterial small subunit ribosomal RNA
Source: RNAcentral